Molecule: unclassified non-coding RNA, 724 nt
Filed under: Pogonomyrmex barbatus (red harvester ant)
Lineage: Eukaryota; Metazoa; Arthropoda; Insecta; Hymenoptera; Formicidae
Description: uPF0389 protein CG9231, transcript variant X9
Source: RNAcentral
UUAAAUUCUGAAUAACGAAACGAAUGACAUUAAAUAUGUGGCAGGACACGAUAGUAUUGUUGGAAAAUAUGGAUAUGCAAUUAUAGAAUGCUGUCAAGACAGUUUAUUCGUAGUUCCCAGUUACAUAUAAUGCGAUGUUUUACUCGUAGCAGUAUCACACGAAAAAUUAAUAAAAUGGACAAAGUUCCUCCACAAAAAAACAAUGAAACUAUAAAGAAAGCUGUCAUAGGAACACGUAUGCAUCGAGUAACUGAUUUUGAUAAGAGAGUAUUAGUUUGGGUAAAAAGAUAUCCGAGUAUUGCGGAUGUUCCAAUGGACGUUACAGUGGACUGUAUACUCACUGCAAGAAAUAAAGCACGAAUCAAAGUCUGUAAUUACAUGAUCAUUGCUACUCUGAUUGGUUGUAUAGGCGCUGUAAUACUUGGAAAAAGAGAUGCUUCAGAAGGAAGAAAUUUAGUUAAACAAAGAGAAGAAUGGCUUCAGACACAGAUAGAGAAAGACAAGAAUAAAUAGAAUCAUAAAUACUCGAAGAAUGUAGGAAUCUUUAAGAUAAUUUUUCUAGGAGGCAUAGACAGCUACUAUUUUUGAUGUGUGUAUACUGUAGAGAGUAUACAAUGAGAUAUACAAUGUGAUGGACACCUGAUUCUCAUUAGAUUUAAUAAGCAUUCUAAUUGCUUGUACAAUAGAAAAUAUCUAAAUACAUAUAACACUGCAUUGUUCCGUA